Molecule: transfer RNA, 74 nt
Filed under: Candidatus Staskawiczbacteria bacterium
Lineage: Bacteria; Candidatus Staskawicziibacteriota
Description: tRNA-Met
Rfam family: tRNA
About the family: Transfer RNA (tRNA) molecules are approximately 80 nucleotides in length.
Source: RNAcentral
GCCGGCGUAGCUCAGUCGGUUAGAGCGAGAGAAUCAUAAACUCUAGGUCGCAGGUUCGAUCCCUGCCGCCGGCA